GGGAACCGGGAGUCUGGCGCCCCCGCCUACCUGAACAGGGCCAGGGACGCACCCCGCUGAGCGGCACCAGGGCGAUUGUGAUCUCAGUUACAGCCGGCCAGUCCCUGUCCCGCGCCUCCUCCGAGCCCGCCCCUGCAUGGCCCGUGUCCGAGUAGUUGCCAGGAGCCCUCCCCAGCCCCGCUCUGGAAAACCCCGCAGAGAGGGGCAGAGAGGGGCUCCUGGCUGAAGAGCUGGUCCAGCGCAGCGGACCCACCUUCCUCCUGGACCUUUUUAUUUGGGACGUGACAGACACUGCGGUUCAAGGCACACUCCUAGAUGCCAGGAGACAUCCACUCUGCCCAGACUGGCUCAGUCCUUACUUUACAGAGCAGGAAAAGAUCCGGGUCCAAAGUCACUCAGGAAGUGAGCACCAAAACCUUCAGACUGGCCCAAGACUGUCCAGAGGUGAGGGGCAGGAGGGGAGACUGCCGGGGACGCUACAGCCAGAGAGAGGAUCUGUGGAGGUAGGGGCUGGUGUCAUGACCUCCCCUUAGCCCUGGCACUAAGCGUUGGAGAAGCAAUCACCAGGUAAGAAAGCAGAAGCCAUAGAAAAGGGUCACAGGUGGCUUUUGCAUGCUGCCUACCCCUUCUUGACCUGAGGGGAACCUUAAGCGACAGACCACCUAAAGAGAAAGCACCAUAGAACCUUGGGGAUGCCUGGCCCACCAGACAGGGCACUGGACGGCCACCCAGGCUCCUGGCCGGUCUUGGCCUUCAAAUCUACCCACUGACUCCAGCCCCAGGGUCUUUGCUGUUCAUUAGCCUGGAAUAUUCCCUUGACCUCACUAUCUACUUGUCACUGGUCUCCUCGGCUCAAAUGUCACUUCCCACACCCCCUUUCCCAGCUCUGUCCCAACCAUCAUCUCCUGCGUCUCCCAGGUGACUGUUCUUUGGAUUGAACACUUACCUGUCUUCCCCACAGAGGCAGGACCUUUAUUUCCCAGGUAUUCAAGACACCAACGCAGAGCUUGAUGAACGCUUAGGAGAUUCUCCAUAGAGAGUUGUGAAGGGACAAAUUCGUAGCCACUUGGAAGUCCGUACACUUUAGACAGGCGGAUCGUAUGGUACAUGGAUUACAUCUCAAUAAGACAGUUGCCCGUUUUUUAAAAAGUAAAUCCAGGAAAGGGACGGCAGCUACGAUCCACCCUGUAUACGUGCCACCCCACAGGACACUCAUCCUCUCUCCAGACCCAGUCACUCUGCCUUCCCACAGUCCACACCCCACGUCUGUCAGUGGUGAAGGCAGUUGCUCGGACUUGGAAGGGACCUUAGAGGUCACUCUGUCUCUUUUACACUAUCCCUGACCGGUUACCCUCUGCCCUAAGCUUGGACAUGCCCAUGACAGAGACCCCAGGACCCCACAGAAUGUCCCCAUUCCAUUGCUGACUAGUUCAUCUCUGGGGGAGACAGCCUUUUGCCAGUGACACCCACAUCCUGGUCCUCCAUCUGUUCCAUGUGACACAGAACAAGCCACUCUGCUUUACAUAGAGAGAUCUGGCUGAAGCCUCGUCCAUAGAGGUCUCCUCAACCAGCUUAAAACCAUAUUCCUCCAUAUGCUGCGCUGGAUAUGGCCUCCUCCUCCAGGAAGCCCUCAAAGAUGUGACUCCCAGAGCACACUGAACCCAUCACACUGUAUUCUUGCCUUCUGAAACCUCACACUGGCUUCCCACCACUUGGAGCCCUCUCUCCUCAGUCAAUGUAAUUCUGAGGCUUUAUGCCCUGCCUAGUACCUGACCCAUCAUCCCAGCUCCAUCUCCCCCCAACUGACUUGGGCUUUUCCUCUUUAGGACACAACAAUGAACCCGUCUCCUCCUGCUGCCUCAACCCGUCCUCUAUUAAAGACACCACCCCUUUACUCUCCUGCAGUCUAGACAGAGCUGAGGGUCGGUCCGUGAAAUCCCCAGACCUGCUUCGGUGGCAUGUAGCUGUGGGAUGUAGCUCUCAGCGACGUCUCCUGCACCAAGCCUGGCAUUUCUGCUGCCAUGCCACCUGCCAUGAUGAUAGCAAUGGACUAAGCCUCUGAAACUGGCAGAACCAGACAGCUCUGGAUUGACUGUGAAAAAUCAAGUUCUUGAAAGACCCCGGGGUCCGGGGGAUACUUCUGCGGAGUUCCUGGAAGGGGCCAUGUGAUGGUUCAUCUUGUCGAUUCGAUGACAUUUAGGAUCACCAUGGAAACCAUCCUCUAGGCAUGUUUGUGAGGGAUUAUCCAGGUCAGGCUGAGGUGGAAGGAAGGUCCAUCCUACCUGUGAGCAGCACUAUUCAUUGGGCUGUGGUCC
Molecule: non-coding RNA, 2315 nt
Organism: Peromyscus maniculatus bairdii (prairie deer mouse)
Lineage: Eukaryota; Metazoa; Chordata; Mammalia; Rodentia; Cricetidae
Source: RefSeq, a predicted model, not a curated record